GUGUGUCCGCUGGGGUGGGGGC
RNAcentral lists this microRNA (22 nucleotides) under Eptesicus fuscus (big brown bat). Its description in RNAcentral is "efu-miR-9294". The record is from miRBase by way of RNAcentral. Lineage: Eukaryota; Metazoa; Chordata; Mammalia; Chiroptera; Vespertilionidae.